Molecule: non-coding RNA, 74 nt
Organism: Galeopterus variegatus (Sunda flying lemur)
Lineage: Eukaryota; Metazoa; Chordata; Mammalia; Dermoptera; Cynocephalidae
Source: the annotation of a RefSeq genome assembly
GGCUGGUUAGCUCAUUCGGUAGAGCGUGGUGCUGACAACGCCAAGGUCAAGGGUUCGAAUCCUCUUACUGGCCA